CACGCCGUAAACGGUGGGCGCUAGGUGUGGGGACUGUUUCCACGGUCUCCGUGCCGUAGCUAACGCAUUAAGCGCCCCGCCUGGGGAGUACGGCCGCAAGGCUAAAACUCAAAGGAAUUG
This 120-nucleotide ribosomal RNA is filed under the name uncultured bacterium. Its description in RNAcentral is "partial 16S ribosomal RNA". It matches the Rfam family "Bacterial small subunit ribosomal RNA", at positions 796 to 912 of the family's 1533-position model. The record is from RNAcentral.